UAGCAAUACCGAAGAAAAUUUAGUGGCGAACGGGUGCGUAACACGUGGGCAAUCUGCCUUAAAGUGGGGGAUAGCUCGGCGAAAGCCGGAUUAAUACCGCAUGUGAUUACUGGAGACAUCUUCGGAACAUCAAAGUCGGGGUAACCUGACGCUUUUUGAGGAGCCCGCGGCCUAUCAGCUAGUUGGUGAGGUAACGGCUCACCAAGGCUUUGACGGGUAGCUGGUCUGAGAGGACGACCAGUCACACUGGAACUGAGACACGGUCCAGACACCUACGGGUGGCAGCAGUCGAGAAUUUUUCUCAAUGGGGGAAACCCUGAAGGAGCGACGCCGCGUGGAGGAUGAAGGUCUUCGGGUUGUAAACUCCUGUCAUUUGGGAACAAUGCUUACGUAUUAACUGUACGUGAGUUGAUAGUACCAGAAGAGGAAGAGACGGCUAACUCUGUGCCAGCAGCCGCGGUAAUACAGAGGUCUCAAGCGUUGUUCGGAUUCAUUGGGCGUAAAGGGUGUGUAGGUGGCGCGCUAAGUCGGGUGUGAAAUUUCGGAGCUUAACUCCGAAACUGCAUUCGAUACUGCCGUGCUUGAGGACUGGAGAGGAGACUGGAAUUCUCGGUGUAGCA
This 620-nucleotide ribosomal RNA is filed under the name uncultured Verrucomicrobiota bacterium. Its description in RNAcentral is "bacterial SSU rRNA". It matches the Rfam family "Bacterial small subunit ribosomal RNA", at positions 77 to 680 of the family's 1533-position model. The record is from RNAcentral. Lineage: Bacteria; Pseudomonadati; Verrucomicrobiota.